Molecule: transfer RNA, 73 nt
Organism: Felis catus (domestic cat)
Lineage: Eukaryota; Metazoa; Chordata; Mammalia; Carnivora; Felidae
Rfam family: tRNA
About the family: Transfer RNA (tRNA) molecules are approximately 80 nucleotides in length. Their secondary structure includes four short double-helical elements and three loops (D, anti-codon, and T loops). Further hydrogen bonds mediate the characteristic L-shaped molecular structure. tRNAs have two regions of fundamental functional importance: the anti-codon, which is responsible for specific mRNA codon recognition, and the 3' end, to which the tRNAs corresponding amino acid is attached (by aminoacyl-tRNA synthetases). tRNAs cope with the degeneracy of the genetic code in two manners: having more than one tRNA (with a specific anti-codon) for a particular amino acid; and 'wobble' base-pairing, i.e. permitting non-standard base-pairing at the 3rd anti-codon position.
Source: Rfam
GCCUGGCUGGCUCAGUUGGUAGAGCAUGAGACUCUUAAUCUCAGGGUCUUGAGUUCAAGCCCCACAUUAGGUG